AGCGAAGCGCUUACGACAGAACCUUCGGGGGAAGAUGUAAGGGACUGAGCGGCGGACGGGUGAGUAACGCGUGGGUAACCUGCCUCAUACAGGGGGAUAACAGUUGGAAACGGCUGCUAAUACCGCAUAAGCGCACAGUGUCGCAUGAUACAGUGUGAAAAACUCCGGUGGUAUGAGAUGGACCCGCGUCUGAUUAGCUAGUUGGAGGGGUAACGGCCCACCAAGGCGACGAUCAGUAGCCGGCCUGAGAGGGCGACCGGCCACAUUGGGACUGAGACACGGCCCAAACUCCUACGGGAGGCAGCAGUGGGGAAUAUUGCACAAUGGGGGAAACCCUGAUGCAGCGACGCCGCGUGAGCGAAGAAGUAUUUCGGUAUGUAAAGCUCUAUCAGCAGGGAAGAUAAUGACGGUACCUGACUAAGAAGCCCCGGCUAACUACGUGCCAGCAGCCGCGGUAAUACGUAGGGGGCAAGCGUUAUCCGGAUUUACUGGGUGUAAAGGGAGCGUAGACGGCAAGGCAAGUCUGAUGUGAAAACCCAGGGCUUAACCCUGGGACUGCAUUGGAAACUGUCUGGCUCGAGUGCCGGAGAGGUAAGCGGAGUUCCUAGUGUAGCGGUGAAAUGCGUAGAUAUUAGGAAGAACACCAGUGGCGAAGGCGGCUUACUGGACGGUAACUGACGUUGAGGCUCGAAGCGUGGGGAGCAAACAGG
This 710-nucleotide ribosomal RNA is filed under the name uncultured Lachnospiraceae bacterium. RNAcentral's name for it is "bacterial SSU rRNA". It matches the Rfam family "Bacterial small subunit ribosomal RNA", at positions 60 to 776 of the family's 1533-position model. The record is from RNAcentral. Lineage: Bacteria; Bacillati; Bacillota; Clostridia; Lachnospirales; Lachnospiraceae.